ACGCUGGCGGCGUGCUUAACACAUGCAAGUCGAGCGGUAAGGCCCUUUCGGGGGUACACGAGCGGCGAACGGGUGAGUAACACGUGGGUGACCUGCCCUCAGCUCUGGGAUAAGCCUGGGAAACCGGGUCUAAUACCGGAUAUGACUCCAUGACGCAUGUUGUGGGGUGGAAAGCCUUGUGCGGCUGAGGAUGGGCCCGCGGCCUAUCAGCUUGUUGGUGGGGUGAUGGCCACCAAGGCGACGACGGGUAGCCGGCCUGAGAGGGCGACCGGCCACACUGGGACUGAGACACGGCCCAGACUCCUACGGGAGGCAGCAGUGGGGAAUCUUGCGCAAUGGGCGAAAGCCUGACGCAGCGACGCCGCGUGAGGGAUGACGGCCU
This 382-nucleotide ribosomal RNA is filed under the name uncultured bacterium. RNAcentral's name for it is "bacterial SSU rRNA". It matches the Rfam family "Bacterial small subunit ribosomal RNA", at positions 33 to 417 of the family's 1533-position model. The record is from RNAcentral.